This 580-nucleotide ribosomal RNA is filed under the name Lymantini sp. RNAcentral describes it as "partial 28S ribosomal RNA". It matches the Rfam family "Eukaryotic large subunit ribosomal RNA", at positions 284 to 645 of the family's 3401-position model. Lineage: Eukaryota; Metazoa; Arthropoda; Insecta; Coleoptera; Curculionidae. The record is from RNAcentral.
AGCCCUAAGCGGGUGGUAAACUCCAUCUAAGGCUAAAUAUGACCACGAGACCGAUAGCGAACAAGUACCGUGAGGGAAAGUUGAAAAGCACUUUGAAGAGAGAGUUCAAGAGUACGUGAAACCGUUUAGGGGUAAACCUGAGAAACCCGAAAGGUCGAAGGGAGAAAUUCAUUCGCGUUUCGCCGUAGGCGUGAGACGGUCGAGUGACGGAGAGCGUUCACGCGUAUCUCCGCGCCUUCCGUUUUUCGAUCCGGCGGCGAACGCGUGCACUUUUCUCCUGGUAGGACGUCGCGAUCCGUUGAGUGUCGGUCUACGGUUCACGGUGGAGCCCGAAUGUGUGAGUUUUCUCAUCACGUUCGGACCCGUGUUUAUUUCCCGACCGACUCGCUCGACGGUAUACGAAUGGUCAAAGGGCGCUAAUUAUUAGCGUUCGGCUUAUGGCAAGCGCGUUAGAUGCGUCGGUGAUCGGACCUAGUGCCGAUUCUGACCUCUAACGACUGUUGGCCGUAAAGUUCUCGAACAGACCCUGAGUUUUUACACUAAGACCGAUCUGCGACGCUAUAGCUUUGGGUACUUUCAG